UUCCUGUGAGCCAUGUAUGGGUUACCGUGCCGUCUGGUCGACGCUAGUCGGGUCUGUAAAUUUAUUCGCGUCCUCGAAUGUGCGACUUCGUUUCGAUUGUCUGUCCAGCUUUCUCACGGCACAGUUAAUUAAUUGUACGCUUGUUCCCACACGUGCGUUUAAGACGACUGUUCAUGUCAGGGACUGUGACUUUGCGUCUUUAAUACCGACUUCCCGCUGGUAGCGCCAUGUAAAGAUUUCACCGAAGACAGCACCACGUUGGCUGUGACCUAGUGGGCAGGACGCCUGGCUUGGCUGCUGGAGAUGCGUGGAUCGAUCACCGCUACCAGACUCCCUUACGUCAACACGACGCGCAGAAGCAACCCUCAGCCAAGCGUCCCGCUUUCCAGGGUUGCGUUGGUUGGAGUUAGAGAGAGAGAGACAGAAAGUCAAAGAUCCCCGAAUGAUGCAGGUGAUUGAGAUAACGCACCCCGCCUUUGCUUCGCGAGACUCCUUUGUACCCUGCGGUGCCUCAUCGUAGGAGCUGCACGGAGACUCUACCGUACGUUAGGUCCUCACGAAAUCGAGUGAACAUGUCAGAAAGUCAACGAAGAAUCUUGCUGUUGGCAAGAAUAAAGUUGGGAGGCAAUUGAAUACCCUACCUUGGGCUUGUGGCCGCGGAAAAUCACUGCCACUGCGUCAUCGGAGCGGGGAACAAACAUCUUGCUCUAAAACAACGGCAGUAGCACUGCUACGAAGAACGCAUCAACUAUCCCGCCAAAUAGGAAUGAGUGAACGCCGUCUUCAUUCAUGAUUUCACGGUGAAAUGGUACGGGAACGUUGUUCCUCGCAGGUGUACCUCUCUCCUGGAGCAGCGAAAUGAACAGCAUCCUCUGCCACAUGCUCAUGGCAGACAAGACGUGCCAGCUGCGAACAACGUAGGCGACACAUUGAUCCAGCCUUUUCGGUGGAAUGAACAGUCCGUUGAACAUGACGUCUCUGCGCAACUUACUACUCCACUUGAGAUGUCGUUUGAAGAGGAUGUCCAGUAAGUUCCAGAGCAGCGCGCUCCGCGAAAGCGGCGAUGAUGGCAAGGAUCUCCCCACCACGGACUUCGUAAACGAGAGUCCCUCGAGGAGGAGCAACUUUGUGCGUGGUCCGUCGCACUGCCGCUGGAGCACUCGGGCUAGAGCGGUCCAACACGAACGUCAGGUGUCGAACCUGCGUUAGACAGGUCACAUCUACUGUAACGACGAAGUGGCCACUGACACCAUUGCCCACAAUUCUGGCAUACGCGUAGUUACCCAAAUAUAAAACGAAAAACACUCCAAGCAGCACUGUCAAUAAGGCGUGAAUUACGACAGUAAUGGUGACGUGUAACGCCGAUGAUGUGCGCGAUAACUCCCAGGUCACGUUCCACGAGUUGAAUAUAGGCGUUGGCAGGGCCAGCUCCCGUGUAGCUUAAGGACAUUAGCGAAGGGGGGUCAUCGGAAUACAGAACCGAUGAUACGGGGGCUAACCUCAUUAACGAGUUCAGGAAAGUCAGGAAGUCAAAUGUUCGUCGAAUACUGGGGUUGACAUGGAUAGCUCACAAAAUCAAAAGGUGGGCGAAGUCUGAGGUAAGUGAUUCUCCGCGUGUCGCGAAUGCGCCGCCAUCUUUUGAGCAGGAACGCAUCACUGCUGCCGUUGUCGCUCGCUUAUACUUUCGUUCUUCACCACCAGCUCAUCUAACGUAACGUAGACUAAGGCACGACACUAUCUAUCACGCAGCCUAACACGCAACACAAGUUCUACUGCUUUCAUUAACCACUUGCAAGAGCUCUGUCGUCUCGUGCUGAUCUGGUUUCGGUGUGUAAAUCUGCUCAAGUAGAAAAUAUUGGCACAUAACGGCAGGCUGGGUGCAACUGGGCACGUUCAAGUGUUCCAAGUUGUCGGUCACGCGUACUAGCAAAAUCUGCGCAUGACCGUUAGCAAGGCCUCGAGCGUAAAAAGGAAGCUUAUAACUUCCUGCGUUUCUGGAUGAAAGAUGGCGCCCUUGAUGAGACUAAGACUGACUCUCGAUGAGGCUAAGGUUGUGCAGCGUGUUCCCUGGCGCAGCCUUGGGAGUCGUGCGAAGUCUUGCGAAAGAAAUAUCACUCCGAAAGCCUUUCCUCUAGAAUAUUGUCCCCGUAGUUUUGUGAAAAUGGCGCUAGGAGCACACUAAAACGGCUUUAUUGGUUAGUGAAAACAUAUUUCGCGAAUAGCACAUGCUAGUGUGAACAUCUCAGCCAAAUUUUCUGGUCGUACGCGACCCGUAGGUCACUUUUUCCUCACGUUCUCCGUGUUGAAGCAAGGCCGCCUUCCCAUCCGUUUCUAAAUUCCUAACGGCUUGCACACAUGCUUAGAUGUUUCGGCAGGUGCUGAAAUUCUCAUGUAUCAUAGAAUCCUGCUAUUGGCUCAUAGCUGGCGAUAAUAACGCUGUCACGAUCAUUUCACUUCUUCCCACUGUUACUGUGCAAUUUAUUGACGCAGUUUAAAAAAUUCACUCGCUGUGGCGGCCCUGCGAAAAUGGAUAUCCAACUGCAACUACAGAGGAGGGGUAUGCAGUACUUUAUUGUUUGGGAUUAAUAGGAAUGAUAAUGUAUAGUAAUUUGAAUAAUGGGAGUAAUGGUAAUCUUGCUCCUAUGCCGACACUGGUCUUACUGCCGUUUCCUUCCCUUUGCCACUCACACCUCGUAUUUACGGUCCUGCCGUGAGUCAUAUGUGUUGACUACCCAUAGCAAAAUGCUAGUGACACGAAUUCCCACGUUGAAAGCUGCCGUCGCCUUAGCAGCCUGUGCAACAGGAAUCUUUACAAGGAAUCGUAUAUGGGAAGCGCUACGUGCUUCGCACUGUAAUGGGGAGCGCCUUAUCAUCAAAUAUGCGGUUCGGAUGUUUGUUUUCUGCAUGGUCUUUAUUGAAACGAAUGAUUUUCUGCAUAUUGCAUGCGUGAUUUCAAGGACUGUACUAUUUUCGCUUUACUUUGCUGUGUGCUUGAAGCCUGAUUCACCUCCGACGUGAUUCGACCGUGUGAUGCACUACCUCCAGGAUCGGCCCACAGUUUUGCUGCCCGCGGAGAUGGACGCGAAAAAUGCCGACCAACGAGAGCCAAGCAGCUUCGCCGUAAUGAACAGGCUGAAGUAAGCGAAAUGCGUUUCAAAUUUCGUCAAGAGUUGCACACUUCCCAAAGUACGAUUAUCGUAUACGUACUACCGCAAUAUAUUACCAGCUAACGUUCAACCACGAUCACCCGCGUAACACUGAAGCUUUGACCACGCGGCUUAGCGGCUAUCGCGUACCUUAGGUCUCGCUAACUUGAAUUAGUUUUGAAUACGCAACUAGCCUCGACCCACGCACAAAUUUAGGAUCAGGCCACAUGUACGCUUGACAGCACGUGCUCGCACUUGGCUAGAAGUAUUGGCAGAGUUUGCUUUGUAUUGAGCAAUUGCGCAAACCGCAGAAUUUCGAUGCGGCUACUAUUCGUCGGUCAAACUGGCGCAGCUCUAAAAAGCCGUUUCCCAAGGCGUCUAGCCAGGAGCAACCAGGAGCGAGAGGCACUGGGCAGGUGUAGUCUGGCCUGGACUUUGGUGUUGUCACAGGCUAGUUGAGUGCCCAAACUAGCACAAUUUCACAAGGCCCGAUGGCUAAUACAUUGACAUGCAGUGGGGCCAUCGUUUCCUGGCUACUCAAACGUUCUGGUGUAAGUAGACGAUCACAAUCAAUGUAUUUUAUGUCAAAAACAGGGAUAAUUAGGUGAUAUUUAUAUACAGAAGGAUAGUCCCGUAGUUAGAAUCUUAAAUCAGGCCUCCUGUGCAUAACACUUAUUCAGACCACCACGGCAACUUGCGAAAUCUUCGAUAGCAAAAUGGUUUAUGAUGCAGGGCACAAAGGAGCACAAAAACAGCAGUUUAAUGCCUUUAACAAUAACAAGGCUGUGGAUUUGUAAAUAUUAGAGAAAAUACUUAGAACUGUUCUUCAAAAUUAGAGCAUAACCCCUGAUAAAGGAAAGUUGGAUGAAGUUGAAAGUGCUGAAGUUCUGUAUUAAACUUGUGAGCGUUCAGCAAUUUUACAGAAAUUGGUAAUGCGUACCAGAGAGCAAGCUGAGGAGAGUGAUGACUUCUUGCGUAAUUUGUGCGAACGCUCGAAAGAAUAAAGUUAUUUUCUGCAAAUCUAGCUUUGUUUGUAUUAAGAUGAGAUUCCCUUGCUAUGAUGGCUACUGGAAUAUUGUCUCUCCAUGCCCUAAAAAUAAUAAUGGAAAAGUUAUAUUUAACAGUAUCAGUCACGCUCAAUAUAUUACGUGCAUGUAUUACCUGAUGUGCACUCGUGCUACGAGGCGUUAGGUUACUUAUUUUUCCCUAUGAUUCAGUGAUAAAGCUAAUGUCAAGGUCAACACAAAAGCACAAUGAAGUGUCAUGAGCAUGAAAAAUGAGAAAUAAGGCCAUGCCUUAAUUAGAACACGUGCGUACACCAUUUUCUCUAGUCCCGUCAGCUAUAUGAAGGUCCAAUUUCAGAAGGCGCUUUUUAAGCUUGUAGCGCAGCUCAGAAAGAGCAAAAAGAAGGUGGUAGGGGUAACGAAAUGGAACGGA
Non-coding RNA from Dermacentor albipictus, 4583 nucleotides. The record is from RefSeq and is a predicted model, not a curated record. NCBI's taxonomy places the organism in Eukaryota, Metazoa, Arthropoda, Arachnida, Ixodida, Ixodidae.